GAGUUUGAUCCUGGCUCAGGACGAACGCUGGCGGUGUGCCUAAAACAUGCAAGUCGAGCGCCCCUUUAGAAGUAGAGAACAUUACGUUAUCUGUUUCUAUGGGGAGCGGCGGACGGCUGAGUAACGCGUGGGAACGUGCCCCAAAGUGAGGGAUAAGCUCAAGAAAUUGAGUCUAAUACCGCAUACGGUCUUCGGAUUAAAGAAUUUAUUCGCUAUGGGAGCGGCCUGCGUACGAUUAGAUAGUUGGUGAGGUAAUGGCUCACCAAGUCGACGAUCGUUAACUGGUCUGAGAGGAUGAUCAGUCAGACUGGAACUGAGACACGGUCCAGACUCCUACGGGAGGCAGCAGUUAGGAAUCUUCCACAAUGGGCGAAAGCCUGAUGGAGCAACACCGCGUGCUGGAUGAAGGCCUUCGGGUCGUAAACAGCUUUUGUAUACGAAGAAUAUGACGGUAAUAUACGAAUAAGGGUCGGCUAACUACGUGCCAGCAGCCGCGGUCAUACGUAGGACCCAAGCGUUAUCCGGAGUGACUGGGCGUAAAGAGUUGCGUAGGCGGUCUUUUAAGCGAGUGGUGAAAUCUGGUGGCUCAACCAUACAGACUAUUACUCGAACUGGGAGACUUGAGAAUGGUAGAGGUAGUUGGAAUUUCUUGUGUAGGAGUGAAAUCCGUAGAUAUAAGAAGGAACACCAAUGGCGUACGCAGACUACUGGACCAUUUCUGACGCUGAGGCACGAAAGCGUGGGGAGCGAACCGGAUUAGAUACCCGGGUAGUCCACGCCGUAAACGAUGGAUGCUAGCUGUGGGGGGUAUCGACCCUCUCCGUAGCGAAGCUAACGCGUUAAGCAUCCCGCCUGUGAG
This 859-nucleotide ribosomal RNA is filed under the name uncultured bacterium. RNAcentral describes it as "bacterial SSU rRNA". It matches the Rfam family "Bacterial small subunit ribosomal RNA", at positions 9 to 873 of the family's 1533-position model. The record is from RNAcentral.